RNAcentral lists this unclassified non-coding RNA (183 nucleotides) under Glomeromycotina sp. RNAcentral's name for it is "partial contains small subunit ribosomal RNA, internal transcribed spacer 1, and 5.8S ribosomal RNA". The stretch from base 1 to 47 matches the Rfam family "Eukaryotic small subunit ribosomal RNA", at positions 1785 to 1831 of the family's 1831-position model. Lineage: Eukaryota; Fungi; Glomeromycota. The record is from RNAcentral.
AAAGUCGUAACAAGGUUUCCGUAGGUGAACCUGCGGAAGGAUCAUUAAUGAUUUUUUUAAGCAAACCAAGCGAAAGUGAGGUUUUGCGAAUAUAUUUAAAACCCCCCACUCUUUAAAAAAAAUUUUCAUUCAUUCAUAAUAUGAAUAAAAAGAUCACUUUCAACAACGGAUCUCUUGGUUCUC